This is a long non-coding RNA of Choloepus didactylus (southern two-toed sloth), 838 nucleotides long. RefSeq lists it as uncharacterized. Lineage: Eukaryota; Metazoa; Chordata; Mammalia; Pilosa; Megalonychidae. The transcript is spliced from 3 exons. The record is from RefSeq and is a predicted model, not a curated record.
UCCCAAUCCAACAUCAAAAUCUGCAUGCUGUCCCUCCACCAACUCCAAGCCCUCCAUCUUGGAGCUUUCCCCAGCUACAGCAGGAGCACAGCAGUGGACCUCGCUGCCAAUGCUGAGGUGACGGACGAGCACCACUUUGGAUACCGGCCCAACGACUGAAUCUGUACCAUGAACCCAGCAAAGAAAAGAAAAUUCCUGUGGGACGUUGAGCCUCCAGUGAUACACUUCCAGGGUCUGAUGCUGAAGACAACAGUGAUUGGGUCAACACCCCGAACUAGGGAAGCCCGACAUCCAACUUGGGGUCAGAUAAAAAAGCUGUGUCAGGAUGAAGAAAAACAAGUAAAGCAAUCCAUGCUGCCAGUAACAGGUCCUAACCUGACUGCAGCAAUGUUGGCUCUUAUUGCUGUUGCUUCCUCAGAUGCACAAGAAAAACCCUCUCAGACCUAAAGCAAAAAGAAGCUGCUUGGGCCAUCCUGUCUGCAAUGAAGAAACAAAAAGGGGGACAUGUGGGAAACUGAGUCUUCCAAGUUGCCUGAGCCAUAUCCAGGGUGGUGGCUUGGAAUGCUAAGCUGCAGGCCUUCAUGGAACGCUAUGCAGGCACGCCUUGUAAAGAUAUGUGUCUUGUGACUAUGACGACAAUGUUUACCAUUGUCCUAAACCUAGAUUUUUCCUUCUGAUACACAACAGGAUGUAAACAUAGGUAUCUGGGGGGCUCUCCUAUGCCUUAGGACACUUAGCAUAUACUCCCUUAUCUUCUGAAAUAAAUAGCUGGAGCACAGGUGCAUUAUCAUCCACUUAGCACGAGAUGCAGUGGGUCCCCUGCUCCCUUAAUUCUUAA